CAGUCGAGCGAACAGACCAGGAGCUUGCUCCUCUGACGUUAGCGGCGGACGGGUGAGUAACACGUGGAUAACCUACCUAUAAGACUGGGAUAACUUCGGGAAACGGGAGCUAAUACCGGAUAAUAUAUUGAACCGCAUGGUUCAAUAGUGAAAGACGGUUUUGCUGUCACUUAUAGAUGGAUCCGCGCCGCAUUAGCUAGUUGGUAAGGUAACGGCUUACCAAGGCAACGAUGCGUAGCCGACCUGAGAGGGUGAUCGGCCACACUGGAACUGAGACACGGUCCAGACUCCUACGGGAGGCAGCAGUAGGGAAUCUUCCGCAAUGGGCGAAAGCCUGACGGAGCAACGCCGCGUGAGUGAUGAAGGUCUUCGGAUCGUAAAACUCUGUUAUUAGGGAAGAACAAAUGUGUAAGUAACUAUGCACGUCUUGACGGUACCUAAUCAGAAAGCCACGGCUAACUACGUGCCAGCAGCCGCGGUAAUACGUAGGUGGCAAGCGUUAUCCGGAAUUAUUGGGCGUAAAGCGCGCGUAGGCGGUUUUUUAAGUCUGAUGUGAAAGCCCACGGCUCAACCGUGGAGGGUCAUUGGAAACUGGAAAACUUGAGUGCAGAAGAGGAAAGUGGAAUUCCAUGUGUAGCGGUGAAAUGCGCAGAGAUAUGGAGGAACACCAGUGGCGAAAGGCGACUUUCUGGUCUGUAACUGACGCUGAUGUGCGAAAGCGUGGGGAUCAACAGGAUUAGAUACCCUGGUAGUCCACGCCGUAACGAUGA
RNAcentral lists this ribosomal RNA (770 nucleotides) under Staphylococcus epidermidis. Its description in RNAcentral is "bacterial SSU rRNA". It matches the Rfam family "Bacterial small subunit ribosomal RNA", at positions 59 to 812 of the family's 1533-position model. The record is from RNAcentral. Lineage: Bacteria; Bacillati; Bacillota; Bacilli; Caryophanales; Staphylococcaceae.